AUGGGAGGAAGGCACCCCGAUGGGCAGCUUCACCUCUGGACCAAACACGUGCCCCUGGUUCCUGUCCUUGGCCCCAUCUCAGACCUCCACCCGUGCGUACCUGCCGUGUGCUCAGGCACAUGCGAGGCACGUCCGUGGGCCCUGGCCCGCAGCUGCGAAGGCGCUGUUCCUGUUCAUCCCGUGGGGCGCUCGGGAGCUCCUCCCUACGAGGAAGACCAAGAGGCUCCUCUGGAGCCGGGCGGCUCAGGAUUGAGCUCAGUGCCUCUGGUUUGUGAACAGGGAAGGGAGGCAGGAAGCUGGUGUUGGCUGGACAAGCUGUGUUCCCUGGGGCGGCCACAGUUUUCUUCGAAGUUGUCUGCCGUGGGCUAUCUUUUCCUAGGCUGCACUGCACACAGCAGGUGCUCCGUGGAUACUGACCCCACUGGUUGGUUCUCUCUGUCCCCUCCUCCCGACGGGCAGCCCCGAGGGCUGACCCUUCACCCCGCACCCUGUCCCCCCAUCCUCCUGCCCGAUCCAGCCUGUGGACUUCUGUCCCUGGGACGUCAAGGCACCAGGAACGUGCCUGUGUUUUCCACCGAGAGACGAAUGCGUGGAUUGCAUUCCAAGGCACGGGUAGCAAGCCGAGGCACCUGCUGCAUUGCAGUCAUGUCUGACACGAGCCAAGAUCAUGUCCUCGGUUCUGCAUUUGCCUCGGGUUUAGCAGACUUUAGAGGGCGCCUCGCCUGCCGGUGGGCUCCAGAGCGGGUGGCUGGCAACCGUGAAGAGCCCCUCACGGCGAGUUGGGACCUUGGGGCUGCCUGCGGAUGCUGUCGGUUCCAGGAAGUACUAAAUGGCUUGCCUCCCAGCACCCCUCCUUCCAUAGUCUCUUCCUAUCCAGUUCUACUCAUCCGUCCCAACACAAGCCCCGUGUCCCUGGGGCUUCCGCAGCCCUCUCCACCGUGCCACAGCCCUUCCUCCUUCCAAUGCGCCCUCUCGUCCAAGCUCCCCACUCCUCAAGGCCCAGUCCAUUUCCAUCUCCCCCAGAAGCUGCCCAGGGCCGUGCCAGUGCCCCCGAUUGCCCGCUUGCUCCUUGGGUAUGGCCCGCACCGGCCAUUCUUCCCUCUGCACAGCUGGUCUUCCUCAGCAGGUUCUAAGUGA
This 1137-nucleotide long non-coding RNA is filed under the name Oryctolagus cuniculus (rabbit). Its description in RNAcentral is "lncRNA (ENSOCUG00000033300.1)". Lineage: Eukaryota; Metazoa; Chordata; Mammalia; Lagomorpha; Leporidae. The record is from RNAcentral.